UAGGGAAUCUUCGGCAAUGGACGAAAGUCUGACCGAGCAACGCCGCGUGAGUGAAGAAGGUUUUCGGAUCGUGAAACUCUGUUGUUAGAGAAGAACAAGGACGUUAGUAACUGAACGUCCCCUGACGGUAUCUAACCAGAAAGCCACGGCUAACUACGUGCCAGCAGCCGCGGUAAUACGUAGGUGGCAAGCGUUGUCCGGAUUUAUUGGGCGUAAAGCGAGCGCAGGCGGUUUCUUAAGUCUGAUGUGAAAGCCCCCGGCUCAACCGGGGAGGGUCAUUGGAAACUGGGAGGCUUGAGUGCAGAAGAGGAGAGUGGAAUUCCAUGUGUAGCGGUGAAAUGCGUAGAUAUAUGGAGGAACACCAGUGGCGAAGGCGGCUCUCUGGUCUGUAACUGACGCUGAGGCUCGAAAGCGUGGGGAGCAAACAGG
This 429-nucleotide ribosomal RNA is filed under the name Gemmatimonadota bacterium. RNAcentral describes it as "Gemmatimonadetes bacterium partial 16S ribosomal RNA". It matches the Rfam family "Bacterial small subunit ribosomal RNA", at positions 355 to 776 of the family's 1533-position model. Lineage: Bacteria; Pseudomonadati; Gemmatimonadota. The record is from RNAcentral.